Molecule: unclassified non-coding RNA, 295 nt
Filed under: Ambisporaceae sp.
Lineage: Eukaryota; Fungi; Glomeromycota; Glomeromycetes; Archaeosporales; Ambisporaceae
Description: partial contains 5.8S ribosomal RNA and internal transcribed spacer 2
Rfam family: 5.8S ribosomal RNA (bases 1-71)
Source: RNAcentral
GUGAAUCAUCAAAUUUUUGAACGCAUAUUGCACUCUUUGGUAUUCCGGAGAGUAUGCCUGUUUGAGGGUAAUUAAAAAGAAUCUUUACUAAUUUUUUUGGUUAAAGGAAAUGAGUUCUCCGCGUUUAUAGUGGUAGCUUGCAAUAAAUGGUAGUCUCAUUUUAGUUGAGAUGCGUAAUAAUCUUAUCUCGCGAAAUUUUCAUUAUGUGACUAACAAGCUUUGAUGCAUACAAAUUUGGUUUGUAUGCGACCAAUACAAAUAUUCUGAACCUUAUCUCAAAUCAGGCAGGAGUACC